This is a long non-coding RNA of Brassica napus (rape), 3935 nucleotides long. RefSeq lists it as uncharacterized. NCBI's taxonomy places the organism in Eukaryota, Viridiplantae, Streptophyta, Magnoliopsida, Brassicales, Brassicaceae. The transcript has 2 exons. The record is from RefSeq and is a predicted model, not a curated record.
CUGGGUUUGAAUAUCAAAAUAAAGAAUUACAAAAUGUUGAGAACGUUCUCCACGUGCUGAGAAAUCCAAAAAUGAACUAACUCUAAAAGAGAAUAUGAGAAAACACAUAAAGAGUGAAUGCUAGAAAGUAACAUCAGUAGAUGCCAUACGAUAGCUUUACAAUAAGGAACAAGCAUAUAAAGACCACUCCAAACCAAGAGCCAGCAUCGCUUAAAACUAUUCAGCACCGUCAGGCCAUAGUUUGAGACUGCUUCUUUCUUGAGCUCCAACACCAGCAUAGAAACCUGAGAAGACUUGCGUUUACGGUCAUAACCGAAGUUGAAAUCAUCUCUAUAGUGAGAAACAACACUAAGAACCAUUUGCUUCCAUUUCGAUAAUAGUAUGAAGCGAUCGAAGUCCACCUUACGACUUCCCAUGAUAAGUAAACAUAAACCAAAUUUCCAAACAAUUGGACUAGAGCCGGAGAAACUCAACCAAAACUUACGAUUCGCAACAAUCAACAUCAUGACUGAACCGUUGCCACCAAGAUUAAGAUAAAGCAAUCCAAAUCAACCAAAGAGACAAAUCGAUGUAAACAAGAAGCUGGAUUUGUAAUCUCGACCUAGUCAUCAAUCCAAGCCAUGUCUGAAUCACAAUUGGCUCUUCGAACAUCUGAGCCUCACAAAAGGUGAAACUUUUAUGAGUGGAGACGCAAACCUUCAGCACCUCCUCACCCAGCCAUCCAAACCGCCACAUCUUAGUAGCCAUCAGCCAAAAACAAACACACCACUCCCAGCAGCUACAUCGUACCAUCCGCGACCUGUACAUCUUGCGCCAGACGCAACACACAGUUCAACUCUGAGACAAAGCUCGAAACUUGAACAUGACAAUCCAUCAAAACCUAAAAUCAGAGCACAAGAACUAAAAGACACAUGAACCCACCCUCUCACGACGCCGGCAAUGAGAACCGGACACCGGAGAGGGCAGAUCUGAAAGCUUCAGAGAAAGUCUCCCUUGGCGGCUAGGUUAAACGAAAAUUUUGAUCCAAGCUCUAAUUGAAUAAUACUCUAUUGCCACCUUCUUAAAACAUCGAAUAAUUGGUCACCGGAUGGAAACGAACAUUCUCUUCUGGAUCUCAUAGGAGAUUGUAUAUAUAUAUUGCUUCUUCUUGAAUUGGACUUCCUGAGGAAAUGCAAAAAAUAACAUCGUGAAAAUUGGAUCUUUUUAAGGAUUUGGGUUUAACUAAGCACAAAAAAUACUUUGGAACCAAAAACCCGAUUAAGAUCUGUUCAAUGAAUCAAUUACAUGAAUUAUGAAUCCUAAGAAAACCCAAUAUUAUAUUGGAUUUAACUGGUUUUUAGAAAUGUUACUAACCCGAACCGAAUCCGAACCAAAUUUUAUAUAUACCCGAAUAGGACUGAAAUUCGUAAACCUGAAAACCCAUUUAAACGGGUACCAAAACCCGAUUAAUUGAACCCAAACCAAAACACGAUUGGUUUCCCGAAUACCCACCUUAGGUUCUAGUGUGCUGAGAUGGCUCAUAUAAAGACAACAUCUUUCUACUAUAUAUAUUUGGAUAUUUUAUCUAUAUUAUUAAAAUAGAUGUACAAAACAAAACUUCUCCAUUUUAAGUGUUUUACUAAAAAUUUUCCAUUCCUUUUUGAACCAAUUCUAACAAUUUCAUUUACUGUAUUUACCAUAAUAAUUUUACAUAUUUAUGAACUCUCUUUUCGUAUGUUUUAUUAAACCUCUUUACAUCAUAAUACAAUUACUUUUCCGUAAAUUAUGUGUCUCAUUUUCAAUAUUUUUUUUUAAAUUUUAAUAUUUGUUAUAUAUAAAGACAUAUAAAUGUUAAAUUAAUAAUACAAUUUGUGAAAAUAUAUAUAACUAUAAUAAGGCUUUUUGGGUUAUUCUCUCGAAUCAACUAAAUUAAUUGGUUAACCUACUUUAUUUUCAGAAAUAUAAAGUUUUAUUCAUUUAAAGUGUAAAAUAUAAAUAGUCAAUUUAUAUAAUAUAUAAAUAAAAUAUAAAUUAAUCUGUUAAUAUAUAAUUUUACGUACAUUUUCAUAUAAACCCAAUACGAUAAAUAUAUGAUAAGAAAUGUAAGUAAUACAAUUGAUGGGUCAAAAAAAAAACUCAAUAUAUAUUAUAAACUUAAUGUGUUUAGAAAUAUCAUAUUUAAAAUUAUUUAAUAAGGAUAAACGUUAAAAAUAUAUUCCGUCAUUUAUACAAACCAAAUAUUUAUUUAUAAAGUUUUAAAAAAAUAAUCGCACAGAUAUGAGAAUCAUGCUCUAGUUAAUUUUUAAAUAAUUAGAAUACUAGAAGCUUGACAAACAAUAAAUUCUUCCAUCUCUCAUCUUUUGCCCUUAACUUUUAUUACGUUUCUUUAUUUUAGUUCAUGAGCUCAUAAAAAUCCAGCCAAUGGACAUGCCGCCGUCAGAGUAUUCUCCUCCAUUCAUCUUAUUUUUACCAGACUCUUUAACUUCAUCACUUUUUCGGUUUUAGAGAUCUAAAAUUAUUAUGAAUAUUUAGAAAGUUUGAUUUGAUUUUGGUUUGUUUUUUUCUAUUUUGGUAUGGUUGGGUUCUUCGGUUUCAGAUAAAUUUAAUAAUUUUAACAUUAAUAGAAUAAUCAAAAUAAAUUUGAUUUGGUCCCUUAAACUUCUUAAAUGAUUGAGAUUCUUUAGCUAUUUCAUAGGAUAAUUUUUACAUAUUUGGUAGAGCAUGAAUCUUUUUAUCUGCUUUUUAUUUAUGAUUAUAUUAAAAUAUAUGUAGGGAAGAAUCCUAAGUUUUCUAAUUUAUCUUUGUUGUAUCUAUUAUUUUUGUAAACUAUCUUCAUGAUUAUUUAUUAUUUUAUUCAAUAUUGUUCAGCGAGACCCGGAUAGUGUCUUCAAGCAAGUCCUCAUGAGUAUAUUCCAGCAUUUGUAUCGGAAAUUACUUUUAGAAGUCAGACACUCUAGAUAAAUUUGACGUUUCAAAAACUUAGUUUUUGUUUACAAAUUUAGUAAAAUUAGAAAAUGGUAUUUGUAACGUAUUAUUUAAUUUAAUUUUUAUACUUGAACUAAAAGCUUACAGCAUGAUACGGAUUAAAGUCUAGUAAUACAUAAUUGGUAUUAUAAGCAAAAGUAUGUAUUAAUAAAUAAAUUAUCCUAGUAAAUAAUCUUUUAUUUUCACUUUUUAAAAUAUCUUAAAAAUAAAAUACUCAAAAAACUUCAAUGAUAAAAACUUUUGUGCCAGAAUAAAAGAGAGACGAGAUAGAAUAAAAGAGAGACGAGAAAAGUAUUGCCGGCCGGCGGAGUGGGCUUCCACAGCCACCGUCGGUCCGGUUUGUUUUCUGUUUAAGCCUUCCUCUUCUCUCGUUUUAGUUUUGUUUGUAAUUUUCGGUGGUUCUCUGGUUUCGGAAGGUGGAGGCUUUGACAGCUCCGUCGCCGCCGGCUUUGUUUCCGAGAGGUAGAGGCUUCCACAGCUCUGCCAUCGUCGGCUUUUGUUUCCGGGAGGCGGUGGCUUUGUCAGUACCGCUGUUGUCGGCUUGUGUUCCCGGGGGGUGGUAGCUCCUUUAGUAUCGCCUUCUCCGGUUUUGUUUCUUUGGCUCCCGGUUUUUAUUCCUUUUCUUCUCGAUCUAUGAGUCUGCACUUCAAAGCUUCUCUGCCUCUUGAUCUAUCAUCUGAAACCGCUGCAUGGAUGUCGGAGACGAGAUCUCGAUGUGUUAGAUCGAUGGAUGCUCUCCGAUGAAGGUUCUCGAGCGGUGAAGGUCGCACAGUCUCGAUCUGGUGGUGUGCGACGCCGUUGACGUCGGUUAGCUUGGGGAGACUAGGGUUUCCAGCUUCUGGGCUGUGGGGUUUGGACUUUAGACCCGUAUGUGGUUUUUUCUAGUUGGGCCGGAUGUUUGGGCUUCUUAUUGUAAUGUUUUCGGAUGAGCUUUGAUCCUUAAUAUUAAAUAUUCAGAGGAAAAAAAAAAA